Molecule: ribosomal RNA, 327 nt
Filed under: uncultured eukaryote
Lineage: Eukaryota
Description: partial 18S ribosomal RNA
Rfam family: Eukaryotic small subunit ribosomal RNA
Source: RNAcentral
CCCUUAGAUGCUCUGGGCCGCACGCGCGCUACACUGGUCGAUGCAACGAGUUUCUUUCCUUGGCCGACAGGCCUGGGCAAUCUUUGAAUCUGCAUCGUGACGGGGAUAGAUUAUUGCAAUUAUUAAUCUUCAACGAGGAAUGCCUAGUAGGCGCAAGUCAUCAGCUUGCGUCGAUUACGUCCCUGCCCUUUGUACACACCGCCCGUCGCUCCUACCGAUUGGGUGUGCUGGUGAAAUGUUCGGAUCGGCCGUUUGUCGCGGUUUCCGCGUCAUGUGGCUGAGAAGUUCAUUAAACCCUCCCACCUAGAGGAAGGAGAAGUCGUAACA